GCUGGGCAUGUGGUGGCACAUGCCUGUAAUCCCAGGGGCUCUGGAGGCUAAAACAGGAGGAUCUCAAGUUCAAAGGCUAGCCUCAGCAAUUUAGUGAGGCCCUAAGCAACUCAGUGAGACCCAGUUUUUA
RNAcentral lists this small RNA (130 nucleotides) under Marmota monax (woodchuck). The record is from RNAcentral. Lineage: Eukaryota; Metazoa; Chordata; Mammalia; Rodentia; Sciuridae.